CAANUUUGAAAUCUGGCUCUCGGGCCCGAGUUGUAAUUUGUAGAGGAUGAUUUUGGCGCGGUGCCUUCCGAGUUCCCUGGAACGGGACGCCUUANAGGGUGAGAGCCCCGUACGGUUGGACACCAAGCCUCUGUAAAUCUCCUUCGACGAGUCGAGUAGUUUGGGAAUGCUGCUCUAAAUGGGAGGUAAAUUUCUUCUAAAGCUAAAUACCGGCCAGAGACCGAUAGCGCACAAGUAGAGUGAUCGAAAGAUGAAAAGCACUUUGAAAAGAGGGUUAAAUAGCACGUGAAAUUGUUGAAAGGGAAGCAUUUACUACCAGACCUUUGCCCUGCGGAUCAUGUGGUGUUCUCACCGCUGCACUUCGCUUGGUUUAGGCCAGCAUCGGUUUUUGUAGGGGGAUAAAAGCUUUAGGAACGUAGCUCCCUCGGGAGUGUUAUAGCCUUUUGCAUAAUACCCUUACGGGGACCGAGGACCGCGCUUCGGCAAGGAUGCUGGCAUAAUGGUAGUCAAUGACCCG
Molecule: ribosomal RNA, 517 nt
Filed under: Muscodor sp. 11Bg5-2
Lineage: Eukaryota; Fungi; Ascomycota; Sordariomycetes; Xylariales
Description: eukaryotic LSU rRNA
Rfam family: Eukaryotic large subunit ribosomal RNA
Source: RNAcentral